Molecule: long non-coding RNA, 3195 nt
Filed under: Lactuca sativa (garden lettuce)
Lineage: Eukaryota; Viridiplantae; Streptophyta; Magnoliopsida; Asterales; Asteraceae
Description: long non-coding RNA (LSAT_LNC004724)
Source: RNAcentral
CACGUAGAGAAAAAUGAUCAUGAUACUUGUGACACAUAUGCCAUACCCAAGAUUGCUUUACUAUUGAAUGUUUCAUAAACUUUGUGUUAUUAAUCUUCUUUACCAUAGUUUGGCUAUAUGGAGUGGGAGGAAAAUUGGUGUGCCUUGUGGUAGUGAACACCACCCAAAGGGUGGCGUAAUGGGCAUGUUCGGCUGUGAUUCGAACCAUUGCUGACCACGGUUCGCUCGUUCUCUCUCUCUCUCUCUCUCAAAUGUACAACACAUCAAUACAUAGAGUACAAGUAAGUAAGAUGAUGUAGAGUGGUGAUCAUUUCCUACAUGUAUGGUGACAAAGUGGCAGUGAUGUGAUACUUCUAAAGUAUCAAAACGAAAAUAUAUAGAUGGAACACAAAUGGUGAUAACUUGAUUCAUAAUUUAAUUAAUUGUGUAAUGUUAUCUAACAUGUUUAUCUGUCUUUUAAUAGAAAAUGAAAUAUUUGGACUAGUUACAACAAAAUGGUAUGUGUCAAGUAAUGUCUUUAUAUCGGGGUAUGUAGAAGACUAGAAGAGAAUAUUACGCUAAAGAAUAUUCAUGGAAUUUAAUUGGCAUCUUCUAAAAUUGAUUAUGAUGGUCCAUCCUUUUCAAAUACAAGUAGACUUUAACGAAGCAACAAAUUCAAAAACUUUCAAAUCAUUGAACGUCAAACUCAACUGAUUUUCUCAAAGUUCUAACCAUCAAUAUGGAUAUAGAUGAUUUAGCUUUUUUUAUUUCUAAGAAAAAACAUAAACAUCAAAGAAUGAUUUAUAUGGUUUGCGAGUAGAUGAUUUAACAAAGUUAAGAAGAAGUAACGUAUACGAAGAAGUAAUAUAUUUCAAUCAAAUAAAAAAAUUAUUUUUAUUACAUUUUCUUAACUUUGUUAACAACAAAUAAAAAAAAUUAUUUUUACCCUAGAUCAUCCCACAUAAAACUUGUUAGGCCCUUGGUCACCACAAGACCAUUUGUGGCAUAUGUGGAGCAUCGGCCACGGUUGUGUACACCAAUUACAUGAGAGAGUUUGAUGUUAAUUUCUUUUGAUUAUUCAUUUAUUAGUUUAUAAAUCGUGGGAACCAUGAUUANAUAAAAAUUUAUAAUUAUUAAUAAGUUAUUUUAAUAAUUUAUUUUAAAUAAAUUAUUAAUUAAGAGAUAUAUCAAAUUUUUAAAGUUAUUAUAACUUCAAAUUUAACAUAUAAUUAGAAAAUAUAAAUUUGAAUUUUGAAAUGAGUUGUCUAAUAUAUCUACAUGACAAAUAUCAUAAUAUUAAUGAAAAGUUAUAUUAUAGUGACAAUUGGCAAAAAAAAAAAAAAUUAAAACUAUUCAUUUAUUAGAAUAUGGAUUAUGACUUUUAACAACUAGUUUAAAAAAAAUCCAUAUUUCCUAUAAAUCAUUUUACUAUAAUUUUUUAUACCAUUUUUUUCUUCUUACUAUACAAACCAAAAUACAUACACAAACAUACCAUGGAACAAUCUUUGGGAUAAAAAGAAGAAAUUGUGUUAGCUCGUGUUUGGAUUUCAGUGUCCGGCAAUCCUUUGUAAAAAAGAGAAAUAUUUUGGUAAUAUAUUUGAAACCACUUCCACAACGAUUGUUGGGUUAAUCGGUUGGUUCAGCGGGUCAUGGGUCGGAUCUAGUUAAUGAUCUAGGAGUGUUUGAUUGAGUCAUGUUGAAAUAAAGGGAUUAUACACAUGUUUUAGAAUGUGCACAACAGAAAAGGUCAACUUUGACCAAGUUUAUAGGAAAUCACAAGAUAUGCAUGUGCAUGUUUAGUCUAAAUAGGUGUCUUAUUUCCUUUGUUAUGUAUCUCUAUUUUUUAUUGAAUUGAGAAGCUUUAUCCUAACAAGUUUACUUUCAGAUACAUACGUGACUAGUGUGUGUUGUGUGUGUUUAUUGUUAAGGACCUGUGUCAACAAUUGGUAUCAGAGCUUAGGGAUCGUGAAGAGGAACAAGGUCGGUUUGAGAGUCGGUUUCACAAAAGGGGGUAGCCCUUCGCUGCAAGGCAGAUGCAGCAGGAAACCGGGGUUUCAGGUGAAGAGGGUGAUGGAUUGUCGGUAGUGGGUUGAUCACAACUGGUCUUAGCAGCUGUUAUCGGCGAGGUUUGAAAGUGAAGCAGCCGGUGGGUCGAAGGUAAACAGAUGCUAUGAAGGUGUUGGUGUUCGUCACUGGUUAAUGGCGGAGAAGGUUUGUCAGCUGAUGGGUUUCUUUGGCGGAUGUCAUUAGUUUUUGGUGGUGUCCGACAAGGUGGUGAUUCCAGCGGUAGGUUGUGGGUAUGUCACCGGAAAAUGGAGAGAGUUACCGGAGAUGCAUGAGAAAAUGAACAGAAAAGAUCCGUCAAGCAGGUGGCUUUGGGUUUGUUUCGUUUUUACAGGUGAAAGAAGACGGGAAAAGCGGGUUGCUUUGUUUUCUUGAUCGGUGGAAGACGACUCUCGUUUCACAGAAGUGUUAGGUGAAAACGGAUUUUGUAUGGUGACAAACAAUAUCCGGGUAUGGAGGACUUUGUACGUGACCGAGGUGAAGGUCCGUUGUCCGGGAAAAGUAGGGAUUGGAUGAAGACUUUGGACGUGACCGAGGAGGAAGUUGGGUGUCCGGGAAAGGUCUUGAAUCGAGAUGAAAAGAGGGUGAUUAAAGGCUGUUUGUGAACAAAUGGUGUGAACAACCGAUUAAGGGGGUGAUUGUUUGGUUAAUCGGUUGGUUCAGCGGGUCAUGGGUCGGAUCUAGUUAAUGAUCUAGGAGUGUUUGAUUGAGUCAUGCUGAAAUAAAUGGAUUAUACCCAUGUUUUAGAAUGUGCACAAUAGAAAAGGUCAAGUUUGACCAAGUUUAUAGGAAAUCACGAGAUAUGCAUGUGCAUGUUUAGUAUAAAUAAGUGUCUUAUUUCCUUUGUUUUGUAUCUCUAUUUUUUAUUGAAUUGAGAAGCUUUCUCCCAACAAGUUUACUUUCAGAUACAUAUGUGACUAGUGUGUGUUGUGUGUGUUUAUUGUUAAGGACCUGUGCCAACAAUGAUAUGAGAAAAGGUGUUUAUCGGGAUCUCGAUGGACUUUUGUCAAUAUGACAUGAUAUGAGGUUAAAAAUAACCGAGUUCAACCACAUUUGCAAGGAAUUCGAAAACACACAUCCAAAUAGAAGUAACGACUCUGAGGUAAUCGAUGUGGCACUUAAACCAUCCAAGAAUCCCAACUUAACCCUAAG